AGGACGAACGCUGGCGGCGUGCUUAACACAUGCAAGUCGAACGGGGGUAGCAAUACCCCAGUGGCGAACGGGUGCGUAACACGUGAGGAACAUUCCUUCCGGUGGGGGAUAGCCGGCCUAACGGCCGGGUAAUACCGCAUACGCUGUCCGGGGUGCAUACCCUGGAUCGGAAAGCAGCAAUGCGCCGGAAAGGUGCCUCGCGGCCUAUCAGCUAGUUGGUGAGGUAAUGGCUCACCAAGGCGACGACGGGUAGC
This 254-nucleotide ribosomal RNA is filed under the name uncultured bacterium. Its description in RNAcentral is "partial small subunit ribosomal RNA". It matches the Rfam family "Bacterial small subunit ribosomal RNA", at positions 26 to 287 of the family's 1533-position model. The record is from RNAcentral.